RNAcentral lists this transfer RNA (82 nucleotides) under Microbotryum lychnidis-dioicae. RNAcentral describes it as "tRNA-Tyr". It matches the Rfam family "tRNA". From Rfam's summary of the family: Transfer RNA (tRNA) molecules are approximately 80 nucleotides in length. Lineage: Eukaryota; Fungi; Basidiomycota; Microbotryomycetes; Microbotryales; Microbotryaceae. The record is from RNAcentral.
UGGGUAGUUUCCUAGUUGGUUAAGGAGAUUUACUGUAAAUAAAUUGGUACUGCCAUCGCAUGUUCGAAUCAUGCCUACCCAA